This 564-nucleotide ribosomal RNA is filed under the name Pseudodictyosporium wauense. RNAcentral describes it as "eukaryotic LSU rRNA". The stretch from base 209 to 362 matches the Rfam family "5.8S ribosomal RNA". Lineage: Eukaryota; Fungi; Ascomycota; Dothideomycetes; Pleosporales; Dictyosporiaceae. The record is from RNAcentral.
UUCGUAGGUGACCUGCGGAAGGAUCAUUACACACUGAGCAAUGCCUAUAGGGUGCGACCGGCUUUUGCGGUCGUCUCUAGAGGUGUAGCCAGCCUACCCUUGCUUAUAUCAACCUUUGUGCAUCCCUCGGCGGGGAGACCCGCCGCUGGGACCAUGAAAACCCUCUUGCAUCAAGCACCCACAUUCUGAAUUUAUUUUAAACGUUUACAACUUUCAACAAUGGAUCUCUUGGUUCUGGCAUCGAUGAAGAACGCAGCGAAAUGCGAUAAGUAGUGUGAAUUGCAGACUUUAGUGAAUCAUCGAAUUUUUGAACGCACAUUGCGCCCCUUGGUAUUCCAUUGGGCAUGCCUGUUCGAGCGUCAUUUCUCCCUUCAAGCACCGCUUGGUGAUGGGUGUUUGUCCGUGUCAUCUGCGCGGACUCGCCCCAAUAACAUUGGCAGCAGGCCGCCGGUCUCUCGCGCAGCACUUUGCGCUUCUCGAGGCCGUGGCGAGCCGGCGUCCAUCAAGAUCUCCCCCAGUUUGACCUCGAAUCAGGUAGGGAUACCCGCUGAACUUAAGCAUAUC